AUAUGUGAGGGCGAUCUGGCUGUGACAUCUGUUACCCCAUUGAUGGCCAGGGUUGACUCGGCUGAUCUGGCUGGCUAGGUGGGUGUCUCCUUCCUCCCUCAACGCUCUAUGUGCGUCCCUCCUGAAGCUGCGCGCUGGGUCGAAGAGGACAACCACCUCCGAUAGAGGAGGACUUUUUCUCAGUUAAGGUUAUACGAGUAGCUGUGCUCCACUGCUAGAACCUCCAAACAAGCUCUCAAGAAUACUAGCAAAAUAAUACCAAGCCAUGAACACAAGCAUGAUUCCCCUAAAACUUGUACAGUAUCUGCAAAUCCCAAACAAACU
Molecule: small nuclear RNA, 324 nt
Filed under: Chinchilla lanigera (long-tailed chinchilla)
Lineage: Eukaryota; Metazoa; Chordata; Mammalia; Rodentia; Chinchillidae
Description: 7SK RNA (ENSCLAG00000021629.1)
Rfam family: 7SK RNA
About the family: 7SK was discovered as an abundant small nuclear RNA in the mid-70s but a possible function has only recently been suggested. Two independent studies have found that 7SK RNA binds the CDK9/cyclin T complex (known as elongation factor P-TEFb). P-TEFb activates transcription by phosphorylating the C-terminal domain of RNA polymerase II.
Source: Rfam by way of RNAcentral